This 1488-nucleotide ribosomal RNA is filed under the name Aphanizomenon flos-aquae WA102. Its description in RNAcentral is "bacterial SSU rRNA". It matches the Rfam family "Bacterial small subunit ribosomal RNA". Lineage: Bacteria; Bacillati; Cyanobacteriota; Cyanophyceae; Nostocales; Aphanizomenonaceae. The record is from RNAcentral.
AAAAUGGAGAGUUUGAUCCUGGCUCAGGAUGAACGCUGGCGGUAUGCUUAACACAUGCAAGUCGAACGGUCUUUUAGGAGACAGUGGCGGACGGGUGAGUAACGCGUAAGAAUCUACCUUCAGGUUGGGGACAACCACUGGAAACGGUGGCUAAUACCGAAUGUGCCGAGAGGUGAAAGGCUUGCUGCCUGAAGAAGAGCUUGCGUCUGAUUAGCUAGUUGGUAGUGUAAGAGACUACCAAGGCGACGAUCAGUAGCUGGUCUGAGAGGAUGAUCAGCCACACUGGGACUGAGACACGGCCCAGACUCCUACGGGAGGCAGCAGUGGGGAAUUUUCCGCAAUGGGCGAAAGCCUGACGGAGCAAUACCGCGUGAGGGAGGAAGGCUCUUGGGUUGUAAACCUCUUUUCUCAGGGAAGAACAGAAUGACGGUACCUGAGGAAUAAGCAUCGGCUAACUCCGUGCCAGCAGCCGCGGUAAUACGGAGGAUGCAAGCGUUAUCCGGAAUGAUUGGGCGUAAAGGGUCCGCAGGUGGCAUUGUAAGUCUGCUGUUAAAGAGUUUGGCUCAACCAAAUAAGAGCAGUGGAAACUACAAAGCUAGAGUGUGGUCGGGGCAGAGGGAAUUCCUGGUGUAGCGGUGAAAUGCGUAGAUAUCAGGAAGAACACCAGUGGCGAAGGCGCUCUGCUAGGCCGAGACUGACACUGAGGGACGAAAGCUAGGGGAGCGAAUGGGAUUAGAUACCCCAGUAGUCCUAGCCGUAAACGAUGGAUACUAGGCGUAGCUCGUAUCGACCCGAGCUGUGCCGGAGCUAACGCGUUAAGUAUCCCGCCUGGGGAGUACGCAGGCAACUGUGAAACUCAAAGGAAUUGACGGGGGCCCGCACAAGCGGUGGAGUAUGUGGUUUAAUUCGAUGCAACGCGAAGAACCUUACCAAGGCUUGACAUGUCACGAAUCCUAUUGAAAGAUGGGAGUGCCUUCGGGAGCGUGAACACAGGUGGUGCAUGGCUGUCGUCAGCUCGUGUCGUGAGAUGUUGGGUUAAGUCCCGCAACGAGCGCAACCCUCGUUUUUAGUUGCCAGCAUUAAGAUGGGCACUCUAGAGAGACUGCCGGUGACAAACCGGAGGAAGGUGGGGAUGACGUCAAGUCAGCAUGCCCCUUACGUCUUGGGCUACACACGUACUACAAUGCUCCGGACAAAGGGCAGCUACACAGCGAUGUGAUGCGAAUCUCAUAAACCGGAGCUCAGUUCAGAUCGAAGGCUGCAACUCGCCUUCGUGAAGGAGGAAUCGCUAGUAAUUGCAGGUAAGCAUACUGCAGUGAAUUCGUUCCCGGGCCUUGUACACACCGCCCGUCACACCAUGGAAGUUGGUCACGCCCGAAGUCGUUACCCCAACCUAUUGGAGGGGGAUGCCUAAGGUAGGACUGAUGACUGGGGUGAAGUCGUAACAAGGUAGCCGUACCGGAAGGUGUGGCUGGAUCACCUCCUUUU